Molecule: long non-coding RNA, 653 nt
Organism: Culex quinquefasciatus (southern house mosquito)
Lineage: Eukaryota; Metazoa; Arthropoda; Insecta; Diptera; Culicidae
Exons: 3
Source: RefSeq, a predicted model, not a curated record
UGUUUUGAUUCCUUUCUUCUUCUUCUUUCGCAUUAUUUAGUGCGCCGCCUGCUGCGAUUUUGGCGAGUGAAUAAAAUAUGAUUUUGUGGGAGUGAUAUCAACAGUUCUAGAUAGUCCAGAGUAGAUUAAGACCCGGCACCGGCGUUUUGGAGAUUUCCGGAACACGAAGUUCGGUGGCCUGAUGCUAUUCGAAAACGACGAGUUAAUUUGCCAAGGAUUUUCCUGCACUAAGUGAAUCGACCUGAUGCGGUCUCCAGCGUCACCGCUAACAUGCCGCGCAACACCUGAAAAACGCAGUCCAAGAUUGUGCCCUGCAACCUGGCGUUCUGGAUAUCACUUCGCUACAUGUCUCCAUGUGAGCACCGUGCCGGAAGUCUCCGCUCAUGAAACGAAACCUAUCCCGUUCUGUUUCCUACACUGAGCAAAACUUACACAGCUUAACGAAGUGUUCUACACAUGAUCUGGCCCUGCUGUACAGAGCACUCAGAAAUCAAUCGCAAAACACUUGAAUUUUGGGCACCUAAAGAUGCUGUCAAUUCAAUAGCACAACACUUGAAUUUGAUGUGUUGUGUCACAUGCAAAACCACGUUAUAUCUAUUGGUUUUUAAUGAUUUUUCCUUCUAUAAUCAAUGCAUGUUUGUAUGUAAUAGAAA